AAGCAGUGACUCUGAAAAAGAUUUGGGGGUUGUGUAUGCUAGCUCAGUGGUUCCCAAACUGAGGUUCGUGAACCCCUAGGGGUUCACGAAAUGUUACAGGGAGUUCUCGGGAAAAAAUUCCCUAAGGGCAGACAGAGCUGUCCAUAGGGACCCCGGGCAGCCCGGGGCCAGCAGCCCGGAGCCUUGAGCUCUUCCAAGAGCUAAU
Chelonia mydas (Green sea turtle) is the source of this 205-nucleotide long non-coding RNA. RefSeq lists it as uncharacterized. The transcript is spliced from 3 exons. NCBI's taxonomy places the organism in Eukaryota, Metazoa, Chordata, Testudines, Cheloniidae. The record is from RefSeq and is a predicted model, not a curated record.